CGGCGGACGGCUGAGUAACACGUAGGAACGUACCCCAAACUGAGGGAUAACUGCUCGAAAGAGUAGCUAAUACCGCAUGUGCUCUUCGGAGUAAAGCUUCGGCGGUUUGGGAACGGCCUGCGCAAGAUUAGCUAGUUGGUGAGGUAAUAGCUCACCAAGGCUUCGAUCUUUAGCUGGUCUGAGAGGAUGAUCAGCCAGACUGGGACUGAGAACGGCCCAG
This 220-nucleotide ribosomal RNA is filed under the name uncultured bacterium. RNAcentral's name for it is "partial 16S ribosomal RNA". It matches the Rfam family "Bacterial small subunit ribosomal RNA", at positions 96 to 334 of the family's 1533-position model. The record is from RNAcentral.